GAUGAACGCUGGCGGCGUGCCUAAUACAUGCAAGUCGAGCGAACAGAUGAUGAGCUUGCUCCUCUGACGUUAGCGGCGGACGGGUGAGUAACACGUGGAUAACCUACCUAUAAGACUGGGAUAACUUCGGGAAACCGGAGCUAAUACCGGAGAAUAUAUUGAACCGCAUGGUUCAAUAGUGAAAGACGGUUUUGCUGUCACUUAUAGAUGGAUCCGCGCCGCAUUAGCUAGUUGGUAAGGUAACGGCUUACCAAGGCAACGAUGCGUAGCCGACCUGAGAGGGUGAUCGGCCACACUGGAACUGAGACACGGUCCAGACUCCUACGGGAGGCAGCAGUAGGGAAUCUUCCGCAAUGGGCGCAAGCCUGACGGAGCAAUGCCGCGUGAGUGAAGAAGGCCUUCGGAUCGUAAAACUCUGUUAUUAGGGAAGAACAACUGUGUAAUUAUCUAUGCACGUCUUGACGGUACCUAAACAGAAAGCACCGGCUAACUACGUG
Molecule: ribosomal RNA, 497 nt
Filed under: uncultured bacterium
Lineage: Bacteria
Description: partial 16S ribosomal RNA
Rfam family: Bacterial small subunit ribosomal RNA
Source: RNAcentral